GCCGCGUGCAGGAUGACUGCCCUAUGGGUUGUAAACUGCUUUUAUAUAGGAAGAAACCUUUCCACGUGUGGAAAGCUGACGGUACUAUAAGAAUAAGGAUCGGCUAACUCCGUGCCAGCAGCCGCGGUAAUACGGAGGAUCCAAGCGUUAUCCGGAAUCAUUGGGUUUAAAGGGUCCGUAGGUGGAUAAUUAAGUCAGAGGUGAAAUCCUGCAGCUCAACUGUAGAAUUGCCUUUGAUACUGGUUAUCUUGAAUUAUUGUGAAGUGGUUAGAAUAUGUAGUGUAGCGGUGAAAUGCAUAGAUAUUACAUAGAAUACCAAUUGCGAAGGCAGAUCACUAACAAUAUAUUGACACUGAUGGACGAAAGCGUGGGGAGCGAACAGGAUUAGAUACCCUGGUAGUCCACGCCGUAAACGAUGGUCACUAGCUGUUCGAACUUCGGUUUGAGUGGCUAA
This 454-nucleotide ribosomal RNA is filed under the name Arctic sea ice bacterium AWS-4M5. RNAcentral's name for it is "bacterial SSU rRNA". It matches the Rfam family "Bacterial small subunit ribosomal RNA", at positions 396 to 850 of the family's 1533-position model. The record is from RNAcentral. Lineage: Bacteria; Pseudomonadati; Bacteroidota. RNAcentral also lists the same sequence under 1 other name.